Bolinopsis microptera is the source of this 2971-nucleotide RNA transcript. RefSeq lists it as uncharacterized. The transcript is spliced from 2 exons. The record is from RefSeq and is a predicted model, not a curated record. NCBI's taxonomy places the organism in Eukaryota, Metazoa, Ctenophora, Tentaculata, Lobata, Bolinopsidae.
UGACAUUUCAAGUAGAUCGGACCUCAGCGAACCCGAUAGAACACGCAGCAUGGUCCCCAACCAUGGAUCUCCUGGCUCUCUCGUACGAUAACGGCGAGUUCUCUGUGGUCCGCACGUGCAUGUCUUGGCAGGUGGUGUGGACAGUGAAGGAGGACACUGAAGGACUGGUCCAGGGUCUCGUUUGGAGGGGUGACGGUAAAGUACUGGCUGUUAGCUUUAAAGAUGUUGUUAAUAUGUACAGUGUAGAGGGUGGUGCUUUGCUCCAUUCCUCCUCCACGCAGGACGGUGUGGUGGCAUGGUCCUCUGUAGCUGUAACCUCCAACGUUAACUUUCUCCGACCUGUUGAACCCUAUCUGCCUGCUCUUGAAGACGUUAAAACAGACAUAAUGUCCAUCAGAGAUCUGCUGGAGAGUAAAACAGAUCUGAAUGUGAUGUUGCUUUGUGAUAAGCAGAAGCAGUGUGUGAGACUAGCCGCGCAGGGCAUGAUGCACGUGGGCGUUGUAUCUGCUGCGGGUGUUGAGUCUGUUGGGAUUACGCAGGAUGGGAAGAGCCUGUGUGUUAUUACUGAUGAGACUUCUCCCAAAUGUACCGUGUAUAACACGGAGAUACUUGCUGGACACACAACUAACAUUAAUGAUGUGACUAUGAUUUACAGCAAAGUUGUGACCUUGUCGGAGUAUCUUUUGUCCACUUUCAAAGCGAUGACAGAUUGUUGGGAUGAUGUUUUGUCUGAGUUCAAUAAAAAGUUGUUUGCGUUUCACAUGUCCCUGCAUCCUAGUAAUUUAUCUGAACAGUUCCUUCAUCUGUUGGUUACUGGGGCUGCGUCCAUGGACCUCGAGAACUUUCUCGUGCACACCCUGAAAGAGAAGGAAAUAUCAAAAUUAUUGCAAUCUACAAUGCAAUCGUAUGAGGGGAUUGAGAAACUUAUAACUCAGAACUUCAUGUGUUGUUGUUAUGCGCUGGCUACACAUCUGCAGUUCCUUCUCGGAAUGUCACGUUGGUAUGAUAGGUAUGGAGAGCUGGGUUUAAAAGAGAUUGCAGUGCAAGAUUCCAUCAACAAACUAUCGGGUCUCAUGAUCAAAGCUCAGGAAAUGCUACAAUGUAUCUCCCAUUCAAAAGCUAAACUGAGUUCAUUUUUAAAAUGGUUGCUGAAAGCCACCAUCUCACUGAGUGACGGCAACAGUACCACAGUGAAGAUAUCUGAAGAUGAACUGAACCUUGUGGUGAAGUUCCUCAAGACAGGGAACUUAUUCGCUACUCGUGCGGACACCUACCACUUCAACAUCGACACAGUCUGGCAGUACUUUUCUGAGGAGAACAUUCUGGUGCCACCUGAGUACUACAACAACAAAAUACUGGAUACUGUACUGACUCUGUUGAAAGAUAAGAAACCAUAUCUAACGGUUCAGCCAUCACUUUCUCUGGUACAAUCCCACAUACUUCUCACUGAGUCCCUCCUCAAAUGUUUUGAACUUAGUCUGCCCGAUUUAAACGUCCCAGUGCAUUCUGUUGAUAUUACUGAUCAGUACACGCUAUCCAGCGAUUCAAAACUCCUAAGGUAUGUCAAUGAUACUAAUAUAAUAACCAUGAUAUCUAUAUCUGAUGAAGGUCUCCAGCUCAGUAACCAGAACAGACACACCAUAACCGAGAGAAUAACUAAAAUAUUCGGGUAUGACCGGGACUUUAUACUUGUCACCAACUCAGCUAACAAUACACAGACUGUGUGUAUUUGUUUUGAGGAUGACAUAGUUAAAACGGAAUUGCCGCAGGAUACUCAGAAGAUAUUUAUAUCGGAGAACAGACGCUUAGGAGCUAUUUUAUCCGCCCAGGGCCGUAGGAUACAGAUAUUAGAUUUAGAUGAAGAUAACGGGGAGGAUUAGGAUAUCAGUUUUCAGUUUUGUGGGAAGUCCAGAGAAAUUUAUGAUUCUUGGAAAAUUCUGAAUUACGGCUCUGUUUAUAAUUUGAUCAGACCAUCCUAUGCUAGAUAAUUGGGAAGGAUGGCAAAUUCUUGUCAUUUUCCUCCUACCCCUCAUCUUUCUCUUCCGACGAUCAAUAAAGAUACUAUACUUUGAUACUUAUCAGUUAAUUCUAAAACAAAGAGUGGAAUUCAAAGACAGAUACGAUGGUGAUAUCAAGUAUGUAGGUGGCAUUGACAUCUCCUUCAUCAAGAACGACAAUAUCAACGCGUGCAUCUCUCUAGCCGUCCUCGAUUUGGAUACCCUAGAAACAGUUUUCAGUCGCAACGAAAUGAUAAAAAUGACAUGUGACUACAUUCCGGGGUACCUCGCAUUCCGUGAAACGCCCCACAUAGCCCAAAUCCUCAAAACAGUGAAAACCCAAUUCCCGGGAUUCUACCCAGAUGUGCUGAUAGUGGACGGUAACGGCCGGUUGCACAAGAAAGAGUUUGGGUUGGCAUGCCAAACGGGGGUCACGUGUGAUAUACCAUGUAUUGGGGUCGCUAAAAACUUGUACCAAAUGGAGGGGUGCCUCAGAGAUGAUGACCACAAGAGUUCUAUCGACAAACUUAACUCCCCCGGGGAGAGAUUCGAGAUAAGGAAUGUGAAGAAUGUGGUGAUAGGGUGUGCUGUUAGAACAACAGCUGGCUCAACUAAACCUGUGUACGUGUCACAGGGACACAGAGUGUCACUGGAAACUGCAUGUCAUGUUGUGAUGAAGUGCUCCAGGUACAGGGUUCCUGAGCCGGUCAGGCUAGCGGAUAUCAUGUCUAGAGAUGUUCUGAGGCAGUUGCAAGUUAAUGGUUGAGGUUUUAGGCGUUGUUUGAUGACGUCGUCAUUAUAUAUCUUGUUGCCAUAACUUGUUGUUUGCGUUUCUUUUCUAUUGUUUUAGUUUUGUAUUUUUUUUCUCUUUUGAAUUAGUUUUUUUACGUUUUUUUUGGUUGUUUAGUUAGUUGUUAUAUUUUUGUACUUUGUAUUUUUUGAGUAAUUAAGUCAUGUUUAUACACAUUUACUAC